CCAGAGGUCCCACAGCCUCCUGUGUCUGCCCAUCCCUUGCCUCCAAUGUCCCCUUUCCUGAAGUUGUUCCAAAUGACCUGUAGUUGCCGCUGCUGGGCCUGGCUUCUGCAGGGCUGGCCACUCCCCUUCACGUAGUUCCUGCCUUAAGAUGUUUACAAGUAGAAAAAGCCCUUUGUUUGGGGCUCAAACUUUCUGGACCUAUGUCCGGCUGAGCUGGUGAUCACCUUAAUUUAAUAAACUCUCCUGAACCUUUUCUGUCUCUCCAGUCUUUGAUGGUCCUGCAACACAACGUCCGGUUUGUGAGCAUGCACU
RNAcentral lists this long non-coding RNA (312 nucleotides) under Pan troglodytes (chimpanzee). RNAcentral describes it as "long non-coding RNA NONPTRT009641". Lineage: Eukaryota; Metazoa; Chordata; Mammalia; Primates; Hominidae. The record is from RNAcentral.